RNAcentral lists this ribosomal RNA (218 nucleotides) under uncultured bacterium. RNAcentral describes it as "partial 16S ribosomal RNA". It matches the Rfam family "Bacterial small subunit ribosomal RNA", at positions 315 to 524 of the family's 1533-position model. The record is from RNAcentral.
GGGACUGCGACACGGCCCAGACUCCUACGGGAGGCAGCAGUGGGGAAUAUUGCGCAAUGGGCGAAAGCCUGACGGAGCAACGCCGCGUGGAGGAUGAAGGCCCUUGGGUUGUAAACUCCUGUCGGUUGGGACGAAAUCUUGCGGGGUUAAUACCUCCGCAAGUUGACUGUACCAGCAAAGGAAGCCCCGGCUAACUCCGUGCCAGCAGCCGCGGUAAU